Molecule: unclassified non-coding RNA, 228 nt
Filed under: uncultured fungus
Lineage: Eukaryota; Fungi
Description: sequence contains ITS1, 5.8S rRNA gene
Source: RNAcentral
UCUCCGUAGGUGAACCUGCGGAGGGAUCAUUACUGAGUGAGGGCUCACGCCCGACCUCCAACCCUUUGUGAACACAUCUUGUUGCUUCGGGGGCGACCCUGCCGGCACUACGUCGCCGGGCGCCCCCGAAGGUCUCCAAACACUGCAUCUUUGCGUCGGAGUUUAAACAAAUUAAACAAAACUUUCAACAGCGGGUGUCUUGGUGCUGGCAUCGAUGAAGACCGCAGC